This is a long non-coding RNA of Helicoverpa zea (corn earworm), 360 nucleotides long. RefSeq lists it as uncharacterized. The record is from RefSeq and is a predicted model, not a curated record. The transcript is spliced from 2 exons. NCBI's taxonomy places the organism in Eukaryota, Metazoa, Arthropoda, Insecta, Lepidoptera, Noctuidae.
AUUGGCCAAGAAGUUGUUGAACAUUUGCCUCCGCCCGCGCACCAACGUCCUUGCGAGCACGGGCCACCGACCGCGACUGCCUGCUCGAAGCUAUGGUUACUUGAAACUUAACAGUUCACGCGACCGGAAAGCACCGUGGUGUCGAAAUUCCUAAGUGACAGUACGAAGUAUAACGGAAUGGUGCGCGUGGGCAGCCGUUUGAGGUUCGAACAUGCCACUGCGACAAUAUGCACGCGGAAAAAGUACGGAUAACAUGUAAUUUUUUUACAGAAUAUUGUUUUUGGGCGCAGAAGAAUAUAUAUUGUGAUUAAGGAAUAAAAGUGUGUAAACAUUCAGAUCUCGUUAAACUGAUUUUUGAAA